AACGAACGCUGGCGGCAUGCCUAACACAUGCAAGUCGAACGAGACCUUCGGGUCUAGUGGCGCACGGGUGCGUAACGCGUGGGAACCUGCCUUUAGGUUCGGAAUAACUCAGAGAAAUUUGAGCUAAUACCGGAUAAUGUCUUCGGACCAAAGAUUUAUCGCCUUUAGAUGGGCCCGCGUAAGAUUAGCUAGUUGGUGGGUAAAGGCCUACCAAGGCGACGUUCUUUAGCUGGUCUGAGAGGAUGAUCAGCCACACUGGGACUGAGACACGGCCCAGACUCCUACGGGAGGCAGCAGUGGGGAAUAUUGGACAAUGGGCGAAAGCCUGAUCCAGCAAUGCCGCGUGAGUGAUGAAGGCCUUAGGGUUGUAAAGCUCUUUUACCCGAGAUGAUAAUGACAGUAUCGGGAGAAUAAGCCCCAGCUAACUCCGUGCCAGCAGCCGCGGUAAU
This 449-nucleotide ribosomal RNA is filed under the name uncultured bacterium. RNAcentral's name for it is "bacterial SSU rRNA". It matches the Rfam family "Bacterial small subunit ribosomal RNA", at positions 29 to 524 of the family's 1533-position model. The record is from RNAcentral.